RNAcentral lists this ribosomal RNA (253 nucleotides) under uncultured bacterium. Its description in RNAcentral is "partial 16S ribosomal RNA". It matches the Rfam family "Bacterial small subunit ribosomal RNA", at positions 524 to 776 of the family's 1533-position model. The record is from RNAcentral.
UACAGGGGGUGCAAACGUUGCUCGGAAUCAUUGGGCGUAAAGCGCACGUAGGCGGUUCGUUAUGUCGGAUGUGAAAGCCCUUGGCUUAACCGAGGAAGUGCAUCCGAAACUGGCGAGCUAGAGUACGAAAGAGGAUCGCGGAAUUCCCGGUGUAGAGGUGAAAUUCGUAGAUAUCGGGAGGAACACCGGUGGCGAAGGCGGCGAUCUGGGUCGAUACUGACGCUGAGGAGCGAAAGCGUGGGGAGCAAACAGG